Lolium perenne is the source of this 3482-nucleotide non-coding RNA. The record is from RefSeq and is a predicted model, not a curated record. Lineage: Eukaryota; Viridiplantae; Streptophyta; Magnoliopsida; Poales; Poaceae.
CCAGAUCCUGAGAACCCUCACUCCGUUGCCCUCGACAUCCACUCCCGGAGACCGGCGGCGCCCCGCUGCCCUCUCCAACCGAUUCCAGCGACCGGCGGCGCCCCGCUUCCCUCGCCCACGACGGAAGACCAGAUUCCGGCGACCGUGCCUCUCCCCUAACCUUCCUCCUCCUUAUCCACAGACGGCUGCGCCCCUCCCAUCCCCUUCCUCUUUCUCCACCGGCGUUCGCUCCCCUCCCAUCUCCUUCCUCCGUUUUCUCAACCGGUGACUGCGCCCCACUUACACUGCUCAUGGCCCGCACCUUCCAUGUCGCCGGAUCGACUGGGUUUGCGCCUUCCACCGCGGGAUCGACCAAUGGAGUGGCGACUCUCAAAAUCAUCGCCUAUAUUUGUUCGCUGCUCCCCCUGCUCGCCCCUCCAAUCUCCCGCGGGAGCUCACAAUCCACACCGCCCGGAGCGAUUAACUUUUCCACCAUGGGAAGUUCACCUUUCCCCCCGGUCGCAGGCCCAGACGCUGCACCCCCAAGUUCGACCUUUCCCCCUGUCUCAACCCAUGAAGUUUACUCCAUCGCCAGUAGUAAGCUUGGGGGCUUUGGGGACAAGAUGAUAUGGCUCUGCCUCAAGAGGCUCUUGUAUACCAACGACCAGGGGGAGAUCGUCAAAGGUGUCUGCUCAAACUUCCUCUGUAUGUACAAUGUUCUCAUCACAAUCCCUUUUUUCAGUUUCAUAGAUAGCUAACUCUUAUUUAUGAAUUGAUUUGUUAACAAAUUGCGGAAACAUUACGAGAGAUGAAAUGGAUUUAAAACUGAUUCAUUAUGAGAUGAAAUAUUGAUGGAUGAAAUAUGUGUGUAAGUGACCAUCAUGUGGUCAUCCUUAUAUGCUUUGCAUUGCCAGAUUGACUAGGAUUAGCAUGGAUAUGGAGAAAGACCUAAGCGUGCAAGAAUAUUUUGAGAGUUCAGUAUAUAUAUGCUCAGUUGUCCUAGGUAUUUGUUGUUCAGGCUUACUAGGUGCUAUUUCUGAAUCGAAGUUCAGAUUGAAUUGUCUGGUAGUUCCCUUUCAUAUUGUUAGUCGCCAAGUACAUUUUGUUAGCCAUGGAUGUUUGUUUCCUUUCAUGGGGAAGUUCAGGGAUAACAGUUUUCGGUUUUUAGUUGAAAAGCAUACAAAGUAAAAAUAUGUUCCAACAAAAAAUGAUAUAAAUGUGUGAUGGCUGCGAGGUUCAAUUCCGUUAUCUGGAUUUUACAGAUUUUUCGUGUUGUAGGUUUUUCCGACGAAGUUCACAAUUUACUUGUGCCGGUCAUGAGUCCGUGAAAGCCUUUAGAAGUUCAUUUCUGUUCUCUGUUUUUAAUGGGAAUUUUGAAUUAAGCCUGAGCAAAAUAUGGCACAUGUAUGUGCUGAUGCGUGUCUGACUAUAAAAAGAGGUAGAAGUUCAGUUUGUUUAUAAAGAAAGUUUAUUGUAGAAGUUCACAGCGUCUUGUGGCGAUUUCUUUCUGCUCAUGAAGACUUCGCGCGAAGUUCACUGUCGGCCCCAUCUAGAAAAUUAGCAUCUCCAUAUGUACACAAAAUCAAUUCACGUGCGGUUUAUUUGCUGUUUGCUAUGGAGAAGUUUAUUAAUAUUUUUUUGGAAAGUUCACUCCUUCGGUUAGCUAUUUGUAUGGGUAAUUGAUAUGUGUGUUGCACUAUUUACUGUCGACGGUAUAGAUGUAGGAAACUAUAAGUUCGGAUUUAAUUGUGGAACAGUGCAAUGGGGGAGAACAAUAUCUGGCAAAUUAUGUUCCAACUCUUUUUAAUUUAUUCAUUACAUAAUUGGGGGAGUCCAGUGCACCGCCCUUGGGAAGUCCACACCGGGUGACCACCAAAGUCCACCACGUCGACAGUGAGGUGGACUUCCGGCGGCCGCAGACGUGAAUUUCCAACCACCGUGAGUAUGUACUUGUCCUCAUUGGCUCGUAUUCUACCGUUGUCCCAUGCAAAGCUAUGUGUUUUUCUCCUGCUGCUGCAUCCUCCUGUGUGUAUGUAUUGCUGAAGCUGCUAAAUCCAAUCCCCGGUGUAAGGGAAGUGCAUCUCUAAGUUUUUUGCCUACUAUAUUAUUACAGUUUAGCAAAUUUAAUUGGCUACUAAAAGAGAGUAAAAUCAGUGAAGAUCUAUUGCUAUGUAUUUUUUGCUUUGAUUGAUUUGCUGGUUGGUUGGUAGUUGUUUGUAAAUACCUGGUGUUUGUUGUGUAUAAAAGUUCAUUCUUUAACUCUCCGGAAGUUCACCAUAGAAAAAGUUAAAGUGAAGUUUUCUAUCCAGAACUUUAGAGUAGAAAUUUAAGUUCUAUUUUAUUCUGUUAUUUCAAUUUUUGCAAUUCACGGAUAGAAAAAUGUGAAGUUCACCUAGACAUGAUGGUGACGUUCAGAGAUAGCCUAGCCUAUGUCAAGUUUGGAUGGUGCUGCCCUUGUUUUUUUUUUGCAUCUGUAUAGCUGUCUUCAGUGUUAAUUUGAAGCCAUCAAACUAAUUCCUAGUUCAUUAUAUGGGUUUGGCACCUCUAAAAAAACUGGACGAUCAUUAUGAAAUCGAACAUUAGAAUUGUCAAAAAAAAAUCGGGAUGUUCAUUUUUUCAUCAAUUUGUUCCCCUCUUGAAAGUGCAUUUCUUAUAUAUGGGGAGUGCUAAUGUGAACUGCUUCUGCCGAUUGGGUUCUGCUAUUUUCUACUAUCUUUUCUUUGUCCAAUUUCCUUGCGAAUAGUUGUAAAAAAGUACAUGAACAGUACAUUGUUAAAGUUCAGUAGGUAAGCUCGAGAAGUUUAGCUUGUAUGCAUGUGAGGUUUACUUAUAAGGUUCACUUUUCUUGUCUGCAAGGUUCACUACAGAGUUUGUCUGCAAGGUUCACUACAGAGUUUGCAAUCACUACAGAGUUUGUUAUAUACAUACUGCUAUUCUUGUUUGGCUGGUUGUUUUGGUUGAGUUUGGCAUGUGAAGCUUAAAGAAAGUGUCAUUUCAGAUAUGCUGCACCGGUACUGGAAGAAAGAGCAUGACUCCGGGUGCGAAAAUUGGAUGGAGCUCUCAAAGUUACAUUUCGUUUUGGCUGUUCUAACCAUCAAGCUCAAGUUUAAGUUAUUAGGUUCCGAUAUUCUACAUAAUGACCAAGCACAAUAUUCAACUUCUUUUUGAGACCUGACCUGCAGUGUUUCCUCUUCUCCUCCUAUCAAAGAUGAAUAUGCUAACUGCAGUGCUGCCCGUGCUCCUCUGCAUCUAAUCUAAGGUCGAAGGAGGAAGUUCAUUUUUCCUGUAAAAAACGAGAGAGGAAAAUGUCACCUGUACAAUUAAUUUAUUUUAGGCAGUUGGUGCAUUUGCUUAUUACCGCCAAGUUUAUUCGGCAAAAGAACGUGGAAUGGUGCUCCGGUAUUACUCUCCGGGGAUUUCAACACUACACUUAAGGCAAAGAGUUCAAGUUUGCGCAAUACUCGAGCGGCCGCAGGAUGCCAACUAGGUUCUCCCAUGAGCAU